This 74-nucleotide transfer RNA is filed under the name Chelidonichthys kumu (bluefin gurnard). RNAcentral's name for it is "tRNA-Lys". It matches the Rfam family "tRNA". Rfam says of the family: Transfer RNA (tRNA) molecules are approximately 80 nucleotides in length. Their secondary structure includes four short double-helical elements and three loops (D, anti-codon, and T loops). The record is from RNAcentral. RNAcentral also lists the same sequence under 2 other names. Lineage: Eukaryota; Metazoa; Chordata; Actinopteri; Perciformes; Triglidae.
CGCUAAGAAGCUAAACAGGACCCAGCGUUAGCCUUUUAAGCUAAAGAUUGGUGGCUACCGCCCACCCUUAGCGA